RNAcentral lists this ribosomal RNA (465 nucleotides) under Vreelandella stevensii. Its description in RNAcentral is "partial 16S ribosomal RNA". It matches the Rfam family "Bacterial small subunit ribosomal RNA", at positions 338 to 795 of the family's 1533-position model. The record is from RNAcentral. Lineage: Bacteria; Pseudomonadati; Pseudomonadota; Gammaproteobacteria; Oceanospirillales; Halomonadaceae.
CCUACGGGGGGCUGCAGUGGGGAAUAUUGGACAAUGGGGGGAACCCUGAUCCAGCCAUGCCGCGUGUGUGAAGAAGGCCCUCGGGUUGUAAAGCACUUUCAGUGAGGAAGAACGCCUGGUGGUUAAUACCCAUCAGGAAAGACAUCACUCACAGAAGAAGCACCGGCUAACUCCGUGCCAGCAGCCGCGGUAAUACGGAGGGUGCGAGCGUUAAUCGGAAUUACUGGGCGUAAAGCGCGCGUAGGUGGCUUGAUAAGCCGGUUGUGAAAGCCCCGGGCUCAACCUGGGAACGGCAUCCGGAACUGUCAAGCUAGAGUGCAGGAGAGGAAGGUAGAAUUACCGGUGUAGCGGUGAAAUGCGUAGAGAUCGGGAGGAAUACCAGUGGCGAAGGCGGCCUUCUGGACUGACACUGACACUGAGGUGCGAAAGCGUGGGUAGCAAACAGGAUUAGAUACCCUUGUAGUC